GACGAACGCUGGCGGCGUGCCUAAUACAUGCAAGUAGAACGCACAGUUUAUACCGUAGCUUGCUACACCAUAGACUGUGAGUUGCGAACGGGUGAGUAACGCGUAGGUAACCUGCCUGGUAGCGGGGGAUAACUAUUGGAAACGAUAGCUAAUACCGCAUAAUAUUGAUUAUUGCAUGAUAAUUGAUUGAAAGAUGCUAUUGCAUCACUACCAGCUGGACCUGCGUUGUAUUAGCUAGUAGGAGAGGUAACGGCUCACCUAGGCGACGAUACAUAGCCGACCUGAGAGGGUGAUCGGGCACACUGGGACUGGGACACGGCCCAGACUCCUACGGGAGGCAGCAGUAGGGAAUCUUCGGCAAUGGACGAAAGUCUGACCGAGCAACGCCGCGUGAGUGAAGAAGGGUUUCGGAUCGUAAAGCUCUGUUGUAAGAGAAGAACGGGUGUGAGAGUGGAAAGUUCACACUGUGACGGUAUCUUACCAGAAAGGGACGGCUAACUACGUG
Molecule: ribosomal RNA, 505 nt
Filed under: uncultured bacterium
Lineage: Bacteria
Description: partial 16S ribosomal RNA
Rfam family: Bacterial small subunit ribosomal RNA
Source: RNAcentral